UGCAAGUCGAACGCGUUGGCCCAAUUGAUUGAUGGUGCUUGCACCUGAUUGAUUUUGGUCGCCAACGAGUGGCGGACGGGUGAGUAACACGUAGGUAACCUGCCCAGAAGCGGGGGACAACAUUUGGAAACAGAUGCUAAUACCGCAUAACAGCGUUGUUCGCAUGAACAACGCUUAAAAGAUGGCUUCUCGCUAUCACUUCUGGAUGGACCUGCGGUGCAUUAGCUUGUUGGUGGGGUAACGGCCUACCAAGGCGAUGAUGCAUAGCCGAGUUGAGAGACUGAUCGGCCACAAUGGGACUGAGACACGGCCCAUACUCCUACGGGAGGCAGCAGUAGGGAAUCUUCCACAAUGGGCGCAAGCCUGAUGGAGCAACACCGCGUGAGUGAAGAAGGGUUUCGGCUCGUAAAGCUCUGUUGUUAAAGAAGAACACGUAUGAGAGUAACUGUUCAUACGUUGACGGUAUUUAACCAGAAAGUCACGGCUAACUACGUGCCAGCAGCCGCGGUAAUACGUAGGUGGCAAGCGUUAUCCGGAUUUAUUGGGCGUAAAGAGAGUGCAGGCGGUUUUCUAAGUCUGAUGUGAAAGCCUUCGGCUUAACCGGAGAAGUGCAUCGGAAACUGGAUAACUUGAGUGCAGAAGAGGGUAGUGGAACUCCAUGUGUAGCGGUGGAAUGCGUAGAUAUAUGGAAGAACACCAGUGGCGAAAGGCGGCUACCUGGUCUGCAACUGACGCUGAGACUCGAAAGCAUGGGUAGCGAACAGGAUUAGAUACCCUGGUAGUCCAUGCCGUAAACGAUGAGUGCUAGGUGUUGGAGGGUUUCCGCCCUUCAGUGCCGGAGCUAACGCAUUAAGCACUCCGCCUGGGGAGUACGACCGCAAGGUUGAAACUCAAAGGAAUUGACGGGGGCCCGCACAAGCGGUGGAGCAUGUGGUUUAAUUCGAAGCUACGCGAAGAACCUUACCAGGUCUUGACAUCUUGCGCCAACCCUAGAGAUAGGGCGUUUCCUUCGGGAACGCAAUGACAGGUGGUGCAUGGUCGUCGUCAGCUCGUGUCGUGAGAUGUUGGGUUAAGUCCCGCAACGAGCGCAACCCUUGUUACUAGUUGCCAGCAUUAAGUUGGGCACUCUAGUGAGACUGCCGGUGACAAACCGGAGGAAGGUGGGGACGACGUCAGAUCAUCAUGCCCCUUAUGACCUGGGCUACACACGUGCUACAAUGGACGGUACAACGAGUCGCGAACUCGCGAGGGCAAGCAAAUCUCUUAAAACCGUUCUCAGUUCGGACUGCAGGCUGCAACUCGCCUGCACGAAGUCGGAAUCGCUAGUAAUCGCGGAUCAGCAUGCCGCGGUGAAUACGUUCCCGGGCCUUGUACACACCGCCCGUCACACCAUGAGAGUUUGUAACACCCAAAGUCGGUGGGGUAACCUUUUAGGAGCCAGCC
This 1443-nucleotide ribosomal RNA is filed under the name Limosilactobacillus fermentum. Its description in RNAcentral is "bacterial SSU rRNA". It matches the Rfam family "Bacterial small subunit ribosomal RNA". The record is from RNAcentral. Lineage: Bacteria; Bacillati; Bacillota; Bacilli; Lactobacillales; Lactobacillaceae.